UACGAAGGGGGCUAGCGUUGUUCGGAAUUACUGGGCGUAAAGCGCACGCAGGCGGAUUGAUAAGUCAGGGGUGAAAUCCCGGGGCUCAACCUCGGAAUUGCCUUUGAUACUGUCUGUUUUGAGACCGGGAGAGGUGAGUGGAAUUCCUAGUGUAGAGGUGAAAUUCGUAGAUAUUAGGAAGAACACCAGUGGCGAAGGCGGAUCACGGGCCCGGUACUGACUUUCAUGUGCGAAAGCGUGGGGAGCAAACAGG
RNAcentral lists this ribosomal RNA (253 nucleotides) under uncultured bacterium. Its description in RNAcentral is "partial 16S ribosomal RNA". It matches the Rfam family "Bacterial small subunit ribosomal RNA", at positions 524 to 776 of the family's 1533-position model. The record is from RNAcentral.